RNAcentral lists this ribosomal RNA (429 nucleotides) under Chloroflexota bacterium. Its description in RNAcentral is "Chloroflexi bacterium partial 16S ribosomal RNA". It matches the Rfam family "Bacterial small subunit ribosomal RNA", at positions 355 to 776 of the family's 1533-position model. The record is from RNAcentral. Lineage: Bacteria; Bacillati; Chloroflexota.
UGGGGAAUAUUGCACAAUGGGCGCAAGCCUGAUGCAGCCAUGCCGCGUGUAUGAAGAAGGCCUUCGGGUUGUAAAGUACUUUCAGCGGGGAGGAAGGCGGUGAGGUUAAUAACCUCAUCGAUUGACGUUACCCGCAGAAGAAGCACCGGCUAACUCCGUGCCAGCAGCCGCGGUAAUACGGAGGGUGCAAGCGUUAAUCGGAAUUACUGGGCGUAAAGCGCACGCAGGCGGUCUGUCAAGUCGGAUGUGAAAUCCUCGGGCUCAACCUGGGAACUGCAUCUGAUACUGGCAGGCUUGAGUCUCGUAGAGGGGGGUAGAAUUCCAGGUGUAGCGGUGAAAUGCGUAGAGAUCUGGAGGAAUACCGGUGGCGAAGGCGGCCCCCUGGACGAAGACUGACGCUCAGGUGCGAAAGCGUGGGGAGCAAACAGG